AAGUCGUAACAAGGUCUCCGUUGGUGAACCAGCGGAGGGAUCAUUACUGAGUUUACAACUCCCAAACCCACUGUGAACAUACCUAUAGUUGCUUCGGCGGGACCGCCCCGGCGCGCCCCCUAGGGGGCUUGCCCGGAACCAGGCGCCCGCCGGAGACCACAAACUCUUGUUUUUUCCCGCACACGCGGCAGUAGAUUCUCUGAGUGGCAAACGCAAAAUAAAUCAAAACUUUCAACAACGGAUCUCUUGGCUCCA
This 255-nucleotide unclassified non-coding RNA is filed under the name Stachybotrys sp. RNAcentral's name for it is "partial internal transcribed spacer region". The stretch from base 1 to 46 matches the Rfam family "Eukaryotic small subunit ribosomal RNA", at positions 1786 to 1831 of the family's 1831-position model. The record is from RNAcentral. Lineage: Eukaryota; Fungi; Ascomycota; Sordariomycetes; Hypocreales; Stachybotryaceae.